RNAcentral lists this ribosomal RNA (790 nucleotides) under uncultured bacterium. RNAcentral's name for it is "bacterial SSU rRNA". It matches the Rfam family "Bacterial small subunit ribosomal RNA", at positions 8 to 796 of the family's 1533-position model. The record is from RNAcentral.
AGAGUUUGAUCCUGGCUCAGAUUGAACGCUGGCGGAAUGCUUUACACAUGCAAGUCGAACGGCAGCACGGGAGCUUGCUCCUGGUGGCGAGUGGCGAACGGGUGAGUAAUGCGUCGGAACGUACCGAGUAAUGGGGGAUAACGCAGCGAAAGCUGUGCUAAUACCGCAUACGCCCUGAGGGGGAAAGCAGGGGAUCGCAAGACCUAGCGUUAUUCGAGCGGCCGACGUCUGAUUAGCUAGUUGGUGGGGUAAAGGCCUACCAAGGCGACGAUCAGUAGCGGGUCUGAGAGGAUGAUCCGCCACACUGGAACUGAGACACGGUCCAGACUCCUACGGGAGGCAGCAGUGGGGAAUUUUGGACAAUGGGGGCAACCCUGAUCCAGCCAUGCCGCGUGCAGGAAGACGGCCCUACGGGUUGUAAACUGCUUUUAUACGGGAAUAAACCUCUUUACGUGUAGAGAGUUGAAUGUACUGUAAGAAUAAGGAUCGGCUAACUCCGUGCCAGCAGCCGCGGUAAUACGGAGGAUCCAAGCGUUAUCCGGAUUUAUUGGGUUUAAAGGGUGCGUAGGCGGCCUAUUAAGUCAGGGGUGAAAGACGGUGGCUCAACCAUCGCAGUGCCUUUGAUACUGAAGAGCUUGAAUGAACCUGAGGUAGGCGGAAUGUGACAAGUAGCGGUGAAAUGCAUAGAUAUGUCACAGAACACCAAUUGCGAAGGCAGCUUACUAAGGUGUCAAUGACGCUGAGGCACGAAAGCGUGGGGAUCAAACUGGAUUAGAUACCCUGGUAGUCG